CUCCCGGUCUCCCGAUUUUUAUCAAAUUCUCCCGAUUUUUCCGAAUAUUCAGGAAAUAUCAUAAAAACUAUUAUAAAUAUACUGUUUUUAACAACAUAAUUGUCUGUCUUGACCAUUUUUGAAGUUGCUUUAUGGCAAUUUAUAGGAUCACUUAUAACAACAUAUUCCCAAAAUGCAGGAAACGCCAUUUCAGAAGACUUAAUUUUUAUUAAUUUUUUCCAGAAGAACUAGAUUUCA
Molecule: non-coding RNA, 237 nt
Organism: Paramuricea clavata
Lineage: Eukaryota; Metazoa; Cnidaria; Anthozoa; Malacalcyonacea; Plexauridae
Source: the annotation of a GenBank genome assembly